Molecule: transfer RNA, 92 nt
Filed under: Vescimonas coprocola
Lineage: Bacteria; Bacillati; Bacillota; Clostridia; Eubacteriales; Oscillospiraceae
Description: Oscillibacter sp. MM50 tRNA-Trp
Source: RNAcentral
UCGUCGUAUGUACUGCCGGCCUCGGUGACGGCCUCCAGAGCCGUCUGAGUAGCGGCGGCGUUCAUGGCGGCGAUCUUGUCGGCGGUGACGCC